Molecule: ribosomal RNA, 1459 nt
Filed under: soil metagenome
Description: bacterial LSU rRNA
Rfam family: Bacterial large subunit ribosomal RNA
Source: RNAcentral
CCAGGAGGUUGGCUUAGAGGCAGCCAUCCUUUAAAGAGUGCGUAACAGCUCACUGGUCAAGCGAUUCUGCGCCGACAAUUCAACGGGGCUCAAGCCUGCCACCGAAGCUACGAGCAGGGCGGGUCACACCGUCCUGCGGUAGGGGAGCAUUCGGCCCUAGAUCGAAGGUAGACCGCGAGGACUACUGGACGAAGCCGAAGAGAUAAUGCCGGCACGAGUAGCGAUAAACCAGGUGAAAAACCUGGUCGCCGAAAGCCCAAGGGUUCCUGGGGAAGGUUAAUCCGCCCAGGGUUAGUCGGGACCUAAGCUGAGGCCGACAGGCGUAAGCGAAGGACAACAGGUUAAUAUUCCUGUACCGCCGUGGUGACGUUACGAGCUAUGGGGUGACGCAGAAGGUUAGGCACCGCCCGCGAUUGGAAGUGCGGGUCCAAGCGCGUAGGGAGCUCCGAUAGGCAAAUCCGUCGGGGCGUCAAUCCUGAAACGUGAUGGGGAGGCCUUCGGGCCGCAAACGGGCCGAUACCCCGCUGCCAAGAAAAUCCUCUAUGCCAGUUGCCAAGGCGCCCGUACCGUAAACCGACACAGGUGGGCGAGGAGAAUAUCCACAGGCGCUCGGGAGAACUCUCGUGAAGGAACUAGGCAAAAUAACCCCGUAACUUCGGGAGAAGGGGUGCCCCACUAAGGUGUUGAGCCUGAAGGGGUCGCAGAGAAUUGGGUCAAGCGACUGUUUACUAAAAACACAGGACUCUGCCAACUCGUAAGAGGAGGUAUAGGGUCUGACGCCUGCCCGGUGCCGGAAGGUUAAGGAGAGAGGUUAGCCGCAAGGCGACGCUUUGAACCGAAGCCCCGGUAAACGGCGGCCGUAACUAUAACGGUCCUAAGGUAGCGAAAUUCCUUGUCGGGUAAGUUCCGACCUGCACGAAUGGCGUAACGACUUGGCCGCUGUCUCCGCGAGAGACCCGGUGAAACUGUAGCGCCAGUGAAGAUGCUGGCUACCCGCGACUAGACGGAAAGACCCCGUGAACCUUUACUGUACCUUGGCAUGGAGUUUUGGCGGAGUCUGUGCAGGAUAGGUGGGAGGCUUUGAAGCCGGAGCGCUAGCUUCGGUGGAGCCGUCGUUGAGAUACCACCCUGACUGUGCUGGAGUUCUAACCUAGGCCCGUGAUCCGGGUCGGGGACAGUGCCAGGUGGGCAGUUUGACUGGGGCGGUCGCCUCCCAAACGGUAACGGAGGCGCUCGAAGGUGGGCUCAGCACGGUUGGAAAUCGUGCGUCGAGUGUAAGGGCAGAAGCCCGCUUAACUGCGAGACCUACAAGUCGAGCAGGUGCGAAAGCAGGACCUAGUGAUCCGGUGGUUCCGAGUGGAAGGGCCAUCGCUCAACGGAUAAAAGGUACUCCGGGGAUAACAGGCUGAUCUUGCCCAAGAGUUCAUAUCGACGGCAAGGUUUGGCACCUCGAUGUCGG